Long non-coding RNA from Raphanus sativus (radish), 5050 nucleotides. RefSeq lists it as uncharacterized. The transcript has 4 exons. Lineage: Eukaryota; Viridiplantae; Streptophyta; Magnoliopsida; Brassicales; Brassicaceae. The record is from RefSeq and is a predicted model, not a curated record.
UGAGUUUAUUGAAGGAAUUCGUACCUUUUAUAAGAUUAAUAAAUCUACUUAUGAAUUCAGUUUGCCUAGAAUCUCAUGUCAAUGCUGAAAUAAAUCUAGAUCUUAUGGUUUCUAAUAUAUUUGUUAAUUCGCAGCGGAACAAGGAAUAAGAACAAACCGGGGUUACUUAACACUGCAAACGUCGUGCCUGUUUUGGUACCCCGCACACACAAACUAGAUCGAUAUGGGAUGCUGCUAUAGGAAAGCAAUGAUGACACGUGCAAGAAGAAUAGAAGAUCAUAACGGACACGUGUCCAUCAUCGAACGGAGCAGUUGGAAGUUUGUAAUGAAAAAACAGAGUAUAAAGAAGGAGAGAAAGCUUUGGGAAGAAAUAAUCAAAAAAAUGUGUGUGUGUCCUUCAUUCUCUAAACAAUUCUGAGUGUGUGUGUGAUUCUUUUGUUAUACAUGUUGAGUUGUUCCUUCACAAGUAAACUCUUGGCUUGAUAAGAUCGAUUAUGUGUAUUCAACAUUGGAUCGUUUGGAUUUCUAUCUUUUAUCGGAGUACGAGUUAGCUGUAUCAAAGGUAUCAGAAGUCAUCUCGAACCUCGGAAUCCAUGGCGGAAAAGAGAUCUCAGACGAUGCAGAAGGAGGUGAUAGGUCGCGAUGUGGACGAUUCCAUCGGAAAUCGGAUCCAGGCAUUAGAAGAAGCUUUUACGGAACAACGACAGUUCGUGGAAACAAAAAUCGCAGAUAUCUUCAAAGUGAUUCGAUUGUUAACGGUGAAUCAAGCUUCGACGAACGACGGUCAAUGAACCGGAAAUCAAUCACCGGUCAUAUCCGCGAAUCACGAGACUAGGUCAACAACGGCAAGGUAAUCAACAUAAUUACGCCGGAAUCACGAGACUAGGUCAAGUUGAUUUUCCUCGCUUCGAUGGUGAUUGUGUGAAAGCUUGGUUGUUCAAAGUGAAGGAAUUCUUUGCUAUCGAUAACACACCGUAUGAACUAUGUGUUCGAUUAGCAUCGAUUCAUUACAAUUCUUUUCGCUGCGAAGGGGCAUCAAUCAGUAGCUCAAUCUGAAAAUGAUGUUUAUGUUUUGGAGGAUUGGGAACACUAUAAGGUUUUACUGAAGGAGAGAUUUGAAGAAGUUUUGGAUGAUCCAAUUGCUGAGCUGAAGCGUUUGUAGGAAACUGAUUGCAUUAGCAACUAUCACGCUAAAUUUGAGAAGAUACGUAACAGAGUUAAGCUAAGUGAAAGCUAUCUGGUGAGUUCAUACUUGGCUUGGUUGAAUACUGAUACUCAGAUGCACGUUAGAAUGUUUCAACCAAAAUCAGUAUUCGAGUGUGCUACUAGGGAGGUUAUACGAAACUGCUCACCCAAGGAAGAACUCUGCUACAACUUGGAGUAAUAGGAAAGCUGCAAACAAAAACAACAAUUAUGUUAAAGGAUUAAUCUCCUACCAGAAGCCUGUGGAGCAGGUAAAGUCCAAUGUUUUAGAAGAAGAUAAGAAGAAAGAAUGGUUCAAACAACCUCAGAAGUUCCUUUCUAAUGAAGACAUGAGUGAAAGAAGGACAAAGGGGUUAUGUUACUGCUGCGAUGAGAAGUACACACCGGGCCAUUAAAACAUGGCUACCUCAUUCGUCACCCCAUCCAGAGCACGUUCAAACUCGAAAGAAAUUCUCAUCUCCACCGAAGGAUGAAUCAAAUAUUUCCUCUGAAUGUUUGAAAACUCCCUCUCGCGAAUAUCGAAGCGUGGACCAUCAUUCAAGCAGAUGAAAACGAUGCUGCACUGUCAGCCUCCGGGAUCUCCCCCCAAGUAGGAAUGGGAGACGAGAAAAGAUCGGCAAAAAGGCGACGAGGCCUUGUACGACCACCCACGAAAGAAGUUGGAAACGCGGGGAGAUCGAGAUGAUUAUUCAUCUUUCUUACCUAAAAACUCAAGAGCCCGAGAGAGAUUUGAACUGAUGUUGAUCGUAGCAAGUCUUUAUAUACACCAAGUCCACUCUUCCUCAUGGAGCUGAAAAAGGAAAGAUAACAUUUCCAAAUAUCAUAGAUGUGCACGAACAACCUGUAAAAAGGAAACUUGACCCUCGCAAAAGAAAAAGAGAAUCCUUCCUAAAAAGGAAAUUGGCAAAAAGCGAUCGGACAUCUCCAAAAAUUUCCUCCAAAUAAGAUUCGACUCGGACGCCCACUGCAACAUCAAGGAUCUCUUCCAAUACAUCUUACACCAGCUCCGGUAUCAACACUAAAGCACAAGCUAAGCGCUCCGGCCUCGUCCUCCAAAUAAAUCACAAAGCCUCCAAGCUUCCUCGUGUUCAACAAACUCAAUAACUCGAGAAGAUAUUACUAGGCUGCGGCCUACCUCAGGGAAAUUAGUCCUCGUCCAGGUUUGGAAUACGGUUCCGACCUAGGAAGAACAUGGAAAAGCGGGAUUACUGGAGCGAUGUCCUUCCCAAGGGAAGCCUGCUGAGAAUGAGCAAAUCCACUUGACUCGAGUGCACACGUUAUUUCCCGAGUUCGAUGAAGAAAUCGAGAAAUAAAAGGGAAUUUUUUGGGGUAAAAAUACUCUGGUAUAAAAUUUCUCCAGAUCCCUAGCAGGACACUGGCCUCCAGGUUCCUGCUAAGAGGCGCUCUGGGUCCAACCCCUGCUUUCGUCCCUUCCUCGGGGUAAAAUGGAAAUCUUCCGAUAUGGGGAUUCUCCCAUAUUUCCACAUAUGGAAGAGUUUAACCCUAUUCGCCGACUUCAGUCGACCAAAAGACGACUAUAUAAGGAGAGCCCAAACUCUAAAACAAGGGAUCGACACUUCGAGACUUAGAGAGUAGAGUUAGGCGGCUAGAACUAGGGUUUAGACAAUAAACAUUGUAGUUUCUGCUCAAUUCAUCAAUAAUAUAUCUAUUUUAGUCUCAAUCCCUGCGAAUCUUAUACUAUAUAAGGCUUGUCCAUCGUUCCAUAGUACUCACAAAGAUCCUACACAAAAAUCCCCUAACAUCUACCAUAGCGAUCUCAUCCACAAAAGGAUUGUAUGUGUAGGAAUAAAGAUCACUUCGUCGAAUUGGGGGAGUGACACCCGAAAGCCUUUAUAUCAUGGCUUGGACGACUUCAAAUUUUUUGGAGAAUACUUGCUUGAGGUGGGCCAUCAUUUCAGAUUUGUUUGCUGCAGCUGCUUCCUGCAUCUCUUCGUCUGUUAUUGGAGUCGGGGUCAUCGUCCUCUGUCAGGUUCGUUGAUUUACCCCCGGAGUGUCGGUUCCAGUCGGCAGUUCUCCAUUCAGUGGUGGAGCCCUUCAGGUGGUGUUGGCUCCCUUAGUCGAAGUUUCCAAGGGUUAUCGAACGUGGGUUCAGAAUCGGUGUAUUUUCUUGCUCAUCGAAUUAAGAGCAGAGUUUUCCUCUCAGAGAACCAAGUUGUUGAGCUCAAAUAUGGUUAUCCAUUAAGGCGUUUCUCUCCCGAGCUGUGUGUAACACAAUGACUUGGCUUUGCAAAGCUGCAAUCUAAGCUUGCAACUCAGUCUCGACAGGAGUGGCUUAAAGCUGCUCGGUAUGCUCCAUUUCCGUCAUUGUCACGUAGUCUUGAUUAUCUCCUCUUUCUAACGCCAAACUUUUAAUGUAAUUUCAUGUCAGUGCUUUGUUGGUACUACAGCAACGAGAAGAAAUUAGUAGACGAGCAUGAAAAAUGAUCAAAAGAUAUGUGUUUAUUGAUCUUUAGAGUUGGCCCCACAACAGUUUGUAUUAUAAUCCUUAGUUAUAAUCACCUAGCUCUAGUUUCCUGUAUAGAACAGUUAAUCCCUUGUUCUAGGGUUUGUGUCUCCUUUAUAUAGGUUUUUCGUAGUCGGAAACUAGGUUACAUACUUUCAAAUUAUGAAAUAUGAAUUAUCUCCCUUCAAUAGAAGGUUUCCAUUUUACCCGGAGGAAGGGAGGGAGCCAGGUCUGAGCUGGAAUUUUUCUAGGUAAGGAUUGAAGGCCCCAGCAUCCAAAUCAAAAAGAGUGUUCUCUUUCUAGAUUAUUUAUCCCCAACAUCAGGUGUUUUGGGUUCCUGGCUUCUUGACUUUUAUUUUUUUUCCUCGCGCUUCUCUUAGCAGUUGUAUGCAUGAUGCCGCCUAUCUCGGAGCCACCAUAUAUCAUGUUAUUUAUCCUAUCAUAACGAAGUGGUGAGGCAGAAGUAGUUGUGGCCAAUUGAUUUUUUUUUCAUCCUUUUCGUUGAGGAGCUUAUUGGCUUUGUCAAAAAGAACUUAUUCCCUUUCUUUAGUAGGUGUUAAACUUCUUUAUUCAGUUAAAUGCAGUUCUCGGUUUUAUGAUUGUGGUCAUUGUGGAAUUCACACCAUCGAUUUGAGUUCUGGAACGUUUCUGGUGCUUUUAUAUUCUGAAGCCACUUGAAUUAUGGGCCCAUCUGCCUUAGAAAGUUGACCAGUUCCAUCUUCGAGAUGGAGAGAUUGGAGAUAUUCGGCCAAGUCAACACUGCCAUUAUUUCGUCCUUUACGAUGAGUCGAUAUUGUUGUGCCCAUGCUCUAGACAACACGUCCUAAAUGGUUCUUCACUGGUAUGCCUCUCUAAAAGGAGGAUAUGGCUGUUGAGAUGUUAAAUCCGGGGAUGGAAAAAAGUUUUAUUUGAAGUGUGUUAUGUAUAUGCGCAAGGGUUCAGCCUGGUGUUGCAGGAUCUCGUAAAGUUCAUCAGCUAUUUUGAGGUCCAUGUUGCUCACAAAUUGUACCACGAACUGGUCGAUUUAGGAUGAAAAAGAGUGUUAGGCAGGUUGAUAUACCAUGGCAACACGGGUCCGGUCAGAGUUGAGCCGAAACCCUUGCACAUGGAGUGACUUGACCCAGAUUUUGGAUUUACCCAAGCAGAAUCGAAUGCCGGCGUUUUACUCUGAAGACUAAUGUGUUUUACCCAAGCACAAAUCGAAUUUCCAUCUGCCAGUAUUAGUCUCUGAAAACUAAUGUGUAAUCUGCCAGUAUUUUCUUCGGGACUAAUGUGGGUUAAUGUCUCUGAAGACUAGUGUGUACUCAGAGACCGAAGUAAUAACUUCAUGAAAUAUUUAUUUCCAACAUCUUGCAUGGGCUAUCAACUAUAAGUGAUUUCGCU